GCAGCCGACCCAUGUAGACGUGACUUACGUCAUCUCCUACACUUUAAUAUACUUUUGACAAACGGCAAGAAAGCCUCCCACUUUAAUUUCUCUGAUUGAGAAAACAGGAUCCGUUCAUUUUCAAGUGAGUCCUACGGAGCUUGUUCAUGAUCUCUCCCUCAUAAGUCUGCAGCGAACGGCGUCUCCCCCAGAGGAAUGUUGGUCUUCCAUUCACUUCUUUGCAGAGGAGUCACUCGUUUCCGAGUGUGGGUCCACCGGAGCUGACCAUCUUACUAAGAGUUCCGCUGUUUGGUGCUGAUCUCUCUCCCUCGUGAGUCUGCAACGAAAUGCAACAGCAUCUCCUCCACUGAAAUGUUGAACGUCCAUUCAGACUUACUUGCAGAGAUCCUUUUAAUGGGCGCCCUCAUCCGGAGAACGAAAUCUCUUCUUUGAUGUCACCUGCCCCUUCGGAAUUUUAUUUCGCCUAUGUUUUACCUGGGAAGAUUUUCUUCUUCAGUUUCAUUUAUCAAAUCGUUUUUAUCCUGUGGUUGUACACAUUUCUUAUUUUGUUAUUGUUUUGCUUUUUUGUAAAGGGACGACGGAGAAUUUACCUCCCAAAUCCCCUUUAGUACUACCAACAAUGACUCAUAAGAAGGAUCAGGGUUAAGAACUCUGGAAACACGGAGGAGGGUAAAGAAUUCCACGUUAUGGAAGUGACAGAAGGAUGGACUGCAAUAGUUAACCUCCGAUUUUGUUGUUGUUGUAAUUUUG
Long non-coding RNA from Macrobrachium nipponense, 750 nucleotides. RefSeq lists it as uncharacterized. NCBI's taxonomy places the organism in Eukaryota, Metazoa, Arthropoda, Malacostraca, Decapoda, Palaemonidae. The transcript is spliced from 4 exons. The record is from RefSeq and is a predicted model, not a curated record.